CAGCCGCCGCGGUAAUACGUAGGGUGCAAGCGUUAAUCGGAAUUACUGGGCGUAAAGGGCGUGUAGGCGGCCUGGGGCGUCCCAUGUGAAAGGCCACGGCUCAACCGUGGAGGAGCGUGGGAUACGCUCAGGCUAGAGGGUGGGAGAGGGUGGUGGAAUUCCCGGAGUAGCGGUGAAAUGCGCAGAUACCGGGAGGAACGCCGAUGGCGAAGGCAGCCACCUGGUCCACUUCUGACGCUGAGGCGCGAAAGCGUGGGGAGCAAACCGGAUUAGAUACCCGCGUAGUCCCUGUCUCUUAUAC
This 301-nucleotide ribosomal RNA is filed under the name uncultured bacterium. RNAcentral describes it as "partial 16S ribosomal RNA". It matches the Rfam family "Bacterial small subunit ribosomal RNA", at positions 509 to 807 of the family's 1533-position model. The record is from RNAcentral.